RNAcentral lists this ribosomal RNA (557 nucleotides) under uncultured bacterium. RNAcentral's name for it is "bacterial SSU rRNA". It matches the Rfam family "Bacterial small subunit ribosomal RNA", at positions 102 to 694 of the family's 1533-position model. The record is from RNAcentral.
ACGGGUGAGUAACGCGUGGGAAUCUACCCAUCUCUACGGAAUAACGCAUGGAAACGUGUGCUAAUACCGUAUACGUCCUUCGGGAGAAAGAUCUAUCGGAGAUGGAUGAGCCCGCGUUGGAUUAGCUAGUUGGUGGGGUAAAGGCCUACCAAGGCGACGAUCCAUAGCUGGUCUGAGAGGAUGAUCAGCCACACUGGGACUGAGACACGGCCCAGACUCCUACGGGAGGCAGCAGUGGGGAAUAUUGGACAAUGGGCGCAAGCUUGAUCCAGCCAUGCCGCGUGAGUGAUGAAGGCCCUAGGGUUGUAAAGCUCUUUCACCGGUGAAGAUAAUGACGGUAACCGGAGAAGAAGCCCCGGCUAACUUCGUGCCAGCAGCCGCGGUAAUACGAAGGGGGCUAGCGUUGUUCGGAUUUACUGGGCGUAAAGCGCACGUAGGCGGACUAUUAAGUCAGGGGUGAAAUCCCGGGGCUCAACCCCGGAACUGCCUUUGAUACUGGUAGUCUUGAGUUCGAGAGAGGUGAGUGGAAUUCCGAGUGUAGAGGUGAAAUCCGUAGA